UACGUAGGGGGCUAGCGUUGUCCGGAAUCGUUGGGCGUAAAGCGCGUGUAGGCGGUCCGGUAAGUCCGCUGUGAAAGUCGAGGGCUCAACCCUCGAAUGCCGGUGGAUACUGUCGGGCUUGAGUACGGGAGAGGCGAGUGGAAUUCCUGGUGUAGCGGUGAAAUGCGCAGAUAUCAGGAGGAACACCGAUUGCGAAGGCAGCUCGCUGGAACGUUACUGACGCUGAGACGCGAAAGCGUGGGGAGCAAACAGG
Molecule: ribosomal RNA, 253 nt
Filed under: uncultured bacterium
Lineage: Bacteria
Description: partial 16S ribosomal RNA
Rfam family: Bacterial small subunit ribosomal RNA
Source: RNAcentral